This 519-nucleotide ribosomal RNA is filed under the name uncultured eukaryote. RNAcentral's name for it is "SSU rRNA". It matches the Rfam family "Eukaryotic small subunit ribosomal RNA", at positions 1161 to 1704 of the family's 1831-position model. The record is from RNAcentral.
AGGGCACCACCAGGAGUGGAGCCUGCGGCCUAAUUUGACUCAACACGGGAAAACUCACCCGGCCCGGACACCGUAAGGAUUGACAGAUUGAGAGCUCUUUCUUGAUUCGGUGGUUGGUGGUGCAUGGCCGUUCUUAGUUGGUGGAGCGAUUUGUCUGGUUUAUUCCGAUAACGAACGAGACUCUGGCCUACUAAAUAGUGACAGGAUUAUUACUGUCUUGGAUACUUCUUAGAGGGACAAGUGGUUUUCAGCCACACGAAAUUGAGCAAUAACAGGUCUGUGAUGCCCUUAGAUGUCCGGGGCUGCACGCGCGCUACACUGAAGGAAUCAGCGUGCUAAAACCAUUGUCGAAAGGCAUUGGUAAACCCAUUAAAAUCCUACGUGAUUGGGAUCGGGAAUUGCAAUUAUUUCCCUUGAACGAGGAAUUCCCAGUAAGUGUGGGUCAUAAGCUCGCGUUGAUUACGUCCCUGCCCUUUGUACACACCGCCCGUCGCUGCCCGGGACUGAGCCGUUUCGAGA